GAUGAACGCUAGCGGGAGGCCUAACACAUGCAAGCCGAGCGGUAGAGUCUCUUCGGAGACUUGAGAGCGGCGCACGGGUGCGGAACACGUGUGCAACCUGCCUUUAUCUGGGGGAUAGCCUUUCGAAAGGAAGAUUAAUACCCCAUAAUAUACUGGAUGGCAUCAUUCGGUAUUGAAAACUCCGGUGGAUAGAGAUGGGCACGCGCAAGAUUAGAUAGUUGGUGAGGUAACGGCUCACCAAGUCAGCGAUCUUUAGGGGGCCUGAGAGGGUGAUCCCCCACACUGGUACUGAGACACGGACCAGACUCCUACGGGAGGCAGCAGUGAGGAAUAUUGGACAAUGGGUGAGAGCCUGAUCCAGCCAUCCCGCGUGAAGGACGACGGCCCUAUGGGUUGUAAACUUCUUUUGUACAGGGAUAAACCUAUUUACGUGUAAAUAGCUGAAGGUACUGUACGAAUAAGCACCGGCUAACUCCGUGCCAGCAGCCGCGGUAAUACGGAGGGUGCAAGCGUUAUCCGGAUUUAUUGGGUUUAAAGGGUCCGUAGGCUGAUUUGUAAGUCAGUGGUGAAAUCUCACAGCUUAACUGUGAAACUGCCAUUGAUACUGCAAGUCUUGAGUGUUGUUGAAGUAGCUGGAAUAAGUAGUGUAGCGGUGAAAUGCAUAGAUAUUACUUAGAACACCAAUUGCGAAGGCAGGUUACUAAGCAACAACUGACGCUGAUGGACGAAAGCGUGGGGAGCGAACAGGAUUAGAUACCCUGGUAGUCCACGCCGUAAACGAUGCUAACUCGUUUUUGGGUUUGCGGAUUCAGAGACUAAGCGAAAGUGAUAAGUUAGCCACCUGGGGAGUACGAACGCAAGUUUGAAACUCAAAGGAAUUGACGGGGGCCCGCACAAGCGGUGGAUUAUGUGGUUUAAUUCGAUGAUACGCGAGGAACCUUACCAAGGCUUAAAUGGGAAAUGACAGGUUUAGAAAUAGACUUUUCUUCGGACAUUUUUCAAGGUGCUGCAUGGUUGUCGUCAGCUCGUGCCGUGAGGUGUUAGGUUAGGUCCUGCAACGAGCGCAACCCCUGUCACUAGUUGCCAUCAUUAAGUUGGGGACUCUAGUGAGACUGCCUACGCAAGUAGAGAGGAAGGUGGGGAUGACGUCAAAUCAUCACGGCCCUUACGCCUUGGGCCACACACGUAAUACAAUGGCCGGUACAGAGGGCAGCUACACAGUGAUGUGAUGCAAAUCUCGAAAGCCGGUCUCAGUUCGGAUUGGAGUCUGCAACUCGACUCUAUGAAGCUGGAAUCGCUAGUAAUCGCGCAUCAGCCAUGGCGCGGUGAAUACGUUCCCGGGCCU
This 1345-nucleotide ribosomal RNA is filed under the name uncultured bacterium. Its description in RNAcentral is "bacterial SSU rRNA". It matches the Rfam family "Bacterial small subunit ribosomal RNA", at positions 28 to 1381 of the family's 1533-position model. The record is from RNAcentral.